RNAcentral lists this long non-coding RNA (722 nucleotides) under Mytilus galloprovincialis (Mediterranean mussel). Lineage: Eukaryota; Metazoa; Mollusca; Bivalvia; Mytilida; Mytilidae. The record is from RNAcentral.
GCUCUGCAGGGCGCAGCUUUAUACGACCGCAGAGGUCGAACCCUGAACAGUUGGGGCAAGUAUGGACAAAACAUUCAAGCGCGAUACAGCUCUGAAUUUGGAUUGUGAUCAGCUUUUUGACAAUACAUGGGUUUUUUUUACACAAAACAAAUGUCAAGAUUUUACAAAUCAAUUAAAGAUUUCUUCUUCAAACUUUUUAAAUCUAAAAUUAAAUAGUUGACACAGCAUAGGUUUCUGACACAGAAUGAAUGUGGUCUAAUGAACUUAAAAGUUUUUUUUUGCCUUUGAGCAAUUCACUAUGCUGUUGAAUAUUAAUCCUCUCAAAAAAAUGUUUGAAGAAAUUUUCUUUUUAUUUAUGAAAUCUGAAAUGAGAAAAAUUUAAACCCCCCCCUUUUUUUUCACAUCCCCGUUUCCCUUUUUCCAAAACUGAUAUCAAUUCAAAUUUCUAAUGGAGUUUGCAACAAUAACUACUCUUUUAAAUACAUCAUAAAAUAUUAAAAUGUAAAAUAAAGUGCUUGUUAUCACUGAAUAGUAAAGAUUGGUUGGUAGUAAAAGUGAAUAUACAUUGUUUAUUGUAUAAAACAAUAAAAAAAACUUCAUCAACAACAUUUUAUAUUGGCAAAUUUCCAAUGAAGUUAUUUACAUAAAGUUAUUGGCAAAUAAAAAUAGAAAAUGACAUCAUAGUCAUGUCUGGCAAAUGUCCAACAUACACUAUCUAAAAA